This 3128-nucleotide long non-coding RNA is filed under the name Sus scrofa (pig). RNAcentral's name for it is "lncRNA (ENSSSCG00035059003.1)". Lineage: Eukaryota; Metazoa; Chordata; Mammalia; Artiodactyla; Suidae. The record is from RNAcentral.
AACGUACUGGGAGCCUCAAAAAUGAACGUGGCCUAGAGACCCUGGCAGACCACAGAUUCAGUACUGCAAGCAUAGGUGUGCCGCCACAGAGAAUGUGCGGAAGGGUUCACAAGCAGCGGUGAGGGUCUCCAGCCAGCGAGGCUGGGGAAUAAGAAGCCCAAGAGGAAAGGAGAUUUACUUUGGUUUCUCCUGAAGAAAGAACUAAGAGGUAAUUAUACCUUUUCAAGAGCAACUGGGAGGACUCGCGCAUGCUCAGAGCCGGUGAUGAGAUGGAAGCCCCAGGAGUCCAGCUAAAACGCUGGCCGGUGGCUCGACUUCUCUUUCCCUUCCCCCUUCAGAUCCUCCUUUACUUGAUAUUCCUUGGUGUGUUUGCUUUCUUCACGGGCUUCCUCUCUUUCAUUUUACCUUCUACCCUCGUCUCUGUUCACCAAAGCGACCAAAGCCUUCAAACCCAGGGUUAGUAUUUGACGGAAUUAAGCUUCCCAAUCAUCUGACAAGGGAUGCACAAGCAGGGAGCUGGAGAGACAGCUGCACCCUCUUCUACGAAAGGGAGUUUCUGAGCAAGCCCAGGCAAGAGCCUGGGCUUGAUGACUAUCUGUUCUUGAUGACUAUCUGUUAUUUCCUCUUGGGAACCCAAAUUAAAGUUGCUUAUUUGCCUUCUAAGCAAGGUGUGGCCAGAGGCAGCCCCAGGGCGCGUAGGUUGUCAGAAAAGAGCCGGUUCAGGGAAAUCUCCCAUCUGGAAUGAAACCAAAGGAGAUGGAACUGCCGUGGACAGAAGGCAAAGUCUGAGAAGAGGCAGGCACGACAAUCCAGAACAAACCAGAUGCAGUGCUUCCACCGGAGGGUAAGCAGUUUCCCGACUGGUUUGACAGAAGCAGCUGCAGAAAACCAGUUCCUCCUGCUUCAGGAGGCAAGAAUCUUCUGGGCGCUGGUGACCCUCUCAGGGCUCCCCAACUUGCUGCGGGAGAAAUUUCCAUCUGCAGUUGCUCAUCCACGAAGAGUGAGGGAAGAGUCUGAACUCUGAAAACGUCACUGGGCUGCUGUGAAAGAAAUUAAGCCCUUUCCACCAUAAGAGAGCCAAACUGUGUUUUCUAGAGGCUGUGGAAAAUUAUUGUUUUCAUUAAAUGCAAAUCACGGCCCCCAAACCAACAAUGUUCUUAGGGAUGAAACUAGCAUUGGCUUCACUGACUCUAAGAGCCUCCAUUAGCCAGCUCUCUAAUGGCACUCUGCUGUGGAAGUUUCUAGCAAAUGAGUGCAAAAUGACUCACUCUUUGCCCUCAUCCUCAGUACCAUCCCCACCCCCCCUUCCACCACCAGUUUUAUCAGUUAUUAGUUGGAAUGGGGGGAAGGAGGGUGUACCAUUUAAGAGGCUUCUGCUUAGCCUAGGAGAUGCUCCAGGGGACAGCAAUUAAGUGCUUUAAGGGGGUGUUAGGCACAGUAGGUGGGAUUCUCCCAGGCGUCCCUCCCGCAGUACAGAGCCAGAGAAGCUGACAAUAGCUGAAGAGAGGGAGGGGCCCCCGACACACACAACCUCUCCCUUUCCCAGCAACAGCUACUUAAUAAGCAGCACUUAGCAUGUGUACAAGGUCAGAAAGGAGGUGAGGAAUGGAAAAAAUAUUUUGGCAUAAAUACGCCCAGAAAAGUUCUCUUAUAGAAGAACAUUUCUGACCUAUGACAGAGUUGAAAAUUUCAAAAAAAAAAAAUAUUUUUUUAUUUGAGAUAGAUUGGAAAAUUCUCUUCUCUCCCCAGAAACAAAUCUUUACUUGUAGUGGUAUCUGAAAUGUCACCAUUAGUAACUCAUUCCUUUGUGUAUUAUAGGCUCCCAGCAUUUAAGAGGCUUCUAUCAAAAGACAGAUUUGUUUUUGGCUACGCCCACAGCACGUGGAAGUUCCCGGGCCAGGGAUCGAACCCGCACCACAGCAGAGACCUUAUCUGCAGCAGUAACAACGCCAGAUCCUUAACGCCAUGAGCCACAGCAGAACUCCCAAAAUGCAGAUACUUUACAUGAGACCAGCCAGUGAUUCUCACUGGAAGCAGAAUCCUUGAGCUGAUUUUUACGUGCAAAUUCCUUGCGUGCGCGUGCGUCUGCGCACACACACAUAUGCUCCAUCCUUCCAACCCCUACUGUGACCAUGACCUUUAGCCAAUAGGUGGUUCUUCAAUUCUCUGGUGUCUUAGUCAUCUCAGGCUAUAACAAUAUACCAGACCGGGUGACUUAAGAGGCAUUUCUUUCUCAUAGUUCUGAAGGGUGGCCGUCCAGGAUCCAGGUGCCAACUGUUUCGGUGUCUGAUGAGAACGCUUCUUGGCUCGUAGAUGACCAAUGUUUACUGUGUCCUCAUACAGCUUUUUGUUUGUUCACACAGAGAGAGCAAGAUCUGUCUUCCUCUCCUUAUAAAGACUCAUUUCCAUGACCUCACUUAAAUUUAAUCAUCUCCCAAAGGCUCCACCUCCAAGUAACAUCAUAUUGGGAGUGAGAUCUAUAACAUAUGAAAGUGGUGGUGGUGGGGGGACACAGACAUUCCGCAUAUAACAGCUGGCUUCUGAUAGGACCUUGGGGUGUUUAACUCGAGUUCCUCCUUUUGCAGGUUAGAAAAUCAUCUCCAUCAUGGAUGAUGAUUUGGUGGCCCCGGUCAGAAGCGAUCUUCUAUAAUUAAGGGUGAAAGCAAUGGAAAACUAGGAAUAGUUGUUUCUAAAAUGUGGACACUUCAAAGGGGAGUUUAUCCAGAGACAACACGGUCACUUUCCUGCCCUGAAUCCACGGCCUCUCCCAUAUCCUGUUUUUUUUCUCCCUAUGUUCUCUUCUGGUUCAUUCCUCUUCUUUUCCUCCUCAAGGGGCAAACAUAUUAGCAAUGCAAUUUGUGUUUGUGUUGUAUAUACUCACUUAAUGAUUCUGUACUUCCUUAAGGACCCGACUAGUAUCCAUGAGGGAUGCAGAUGUGAUCCCUGGCCUCCCUCAGGGGGUUAAGGAUCCAGCAUUGCCACAAGCUGCAGUACAGGUCAUAAGCGUGGCUUGGAUCUGGCAUUACUGUGGCUGUGGUGUAGGCUGGCAGCUGCAGCUCUGAUUGAACCCCUGGUCUGGGAACUUUCAUAUGCUGCAGGUGCAGCCCUAAUAAAAAAAGACAAAAAAA